CGGUGAGUUCUGAGUAUCCUGCACCGCCCUCGAGGACCUGCAGGGGGCGCGCGAAGCCAGCGUGUCUUAGGUGGCGGUGCGCAUGCGCAGUCCGCGUCAGCAGCCAGCAUCUUCCCUGGGGGCGGAGCUUGUUUUCCUCAGCACUGAGCGGGCGGCGCCAUGGAGGCUCCAGGACAGCGCUCCCUGCGUGUCCGCGGGAGGACGCUCCCCGCCCGCUGUCUGAAGUUACGCCGGUUUCCCACUGCCUGCGCCCGCUUCCUGCCGGGGUGUGUGUGGACCUGACCGAGCUAGGGCCCCGGCCGGCUGGGCAGGAGGGGACGGGUGCGCUGGCGGGCCCGCUUCGACUAUUCUCCUCGCCCGCCGGGAGCGGAUUGAAUCUGACUGAGACAUAACUUCGAUGAGAUCACACUGCUAUUAAACCUGCCCCAGAUACAUAUGCACUGGCUUGAGGACCAGCAUAUUGAAGGAACUUGAAAAUGGAAGACCACCUCCACCCUACUGCCCUCUUCAACAGAAAAGCAAUCGGGACUGGUUCCUGACAUUGUGCCCUGUGGAGCUGUCAUUACAGCUUAAUCACUCCACUCACCAGAGAACUCGACAUAUCACAUCACACGUCUUAAGACUAUUUAGGAUGAUGGCACACAUUCCAAGCCGACUUUAUGAUUUCCUUUUUGGUGAUCUCCUCCUGUUGAAAAGUAAAAUGUCCUCCCAAAGGUUGUUUUCUGACGUUGGUUAUUUUAAGUGUCCCCUAUCAGAUUGCCAUUCUCCCCUCUCUUUUCUCAUGUUCUCCUCUGAAUGGAUAUCCAUCCCUUUGUCAUCAUUUUGUCUAGUUUUCUGAUAUCCUAACCAUUCUCUUAAUUUCCAGUUCCACCUCCUGUAUACAAGGAACAUUAUUCUGGAAGACACUUCCCUGAAACCUGAGUUUCAACAGAAACUUGGGGGCAAGGGUUCUGCCCAUACAGUGAGAACAAGCAAUUAUAACCUUAAGAGAGUAUGGGAAUUCUGAUGUCACUACUCCGUGAUUCUUUAUUUUCAGUCAAUAAAUAACAUGUACCUCUGAUGAUGGCUGUAUGGUCAGGCAACUCAAGAUGGCUUCUCUCUAUACAUCUCCUGCUUGACUGGUGCCUGCUUCACCUACACACAACUCAUAAGACUGAUCUUCCUUCAUAUUCACCCCAGGCCCCAGCUAAUGACUGUUCUAGAUUUAGAUCAGAACUCACCACUAUGCUUAUCCAAGGGGUGGUGAGAGGCAUGACCCUGUGCUGAUUACCCACAUAACCAAUGAGCCAACCUGACAUCAACUCCCCUAUGACUGGUAACCUCUUCUUCCCCACCAGGAGCAAAGACUGCCAUCAUGUCCUGCCCUCCAGCUCCCACACAUGGCAGGAUGUUGCUCCAGGACUUUGCUUCAGAUGUGUAAGAUCACCCUAAUCAUUAAACUAUUGAUUAUCUCUGUUGCUGACUCUGGGAUCUUUCUCAGGUCUUGAAGCUGGGCAAGUACAGGGCUUGUAGACCUGCAGGGUGCAGUCCAGUGCUGACAUAGCUAAUUAAUACCCUCACAUAAAACACUUCAUUUAUAUAAACAUAAUGUAACUAGUAGCCAAAUUGGGUUCAAAAGAAUGGAAAUACAUGGAGAUCAGAAGCAACCUUAGCUCUAGGGUCCUCAGAAAGCCCAGAUUCAGUGGGAUAUCAUGGUACAGCACAAGGCUUGUGGGGAAAAAUGAAUAGCAGGCACAGCUUUGCCCAUCUCUUAUCUAAUUCUCAAUAGUUCCUUCUGCUAUUGGACCAACCUGGGAUGUGUCUAUGUCCAUUCAAAUACUAUCCCUUUCUGAAACUCUUAUGAAAAUUUCAGUGCACAUCAUGUUAAUUAUGAUGUUUCACUCAUGAUGCCACUUAAACUUAUCAUCAUCUUGCAUUGUUUCAAAAUAUUGAAUGUAUGUAAUUACUCUAAUUAUUUAUGUUGCCUUAUUUUAGUUGUGAUGGUUAUAUAUUUUUCCAGGUUUAUUUUCUUCUCUUGUAAAACUGUCUGCUCAAGCAAAGUAGAUCUACCCAAUGUUUCACAAUGAUACCCUGUACAUUUUGCCUUCCCAAAAUGUUACUUUAAAUAUUCUAUUUGAAGAGUUUUCUCUCUCUUCUCACUCUGUGUGAAUAGUGUUCAUCCUUCAAAAACCAGUCAAUGCCAGUGACUUCAAAAGGGUCAUUCCUCUCACAAAAGUGUAUCUGACCUUGUGAGUAUGCUUUUUCUCAGAAAAAAAAAUCAUGAAUUUGCAUAAUUUGUUUCUCAGUUUCUAUAUGCAGUUAUAUCUUAUUUUAUUGUGCUUCACUUAACUGUACUUUGCAGAUACUGAGUUUUCUCUUUACAAAUUGAAAGUUUGUGGCAACCUGGUCUCUGGCAAGUCUAUCACUGCCAUUUUUCCACAUUGUAUCUCUCUGUCACACUUUGGUAAUUUUCCCAGUAUUUCAAACUUUUUCAUUAUUAUUAUAUUUGUUAUGGUGACCUGUGAUCUUUGAUGUUACUAUUGUAAUUGUUUCAGAGUGCCAUGAACCCCACUCACAAGAGAUGAAAACCAGAUUCACAGAUGCUGUGUGUGUUCUGACUGCUCCAUUGACUUGACUGUUCCCCCAUCUCUCUUUCUUUCCUUGGGCCUCACUAUUCCCUGAGACACAAUAAUAUUUAAAUUAGAUGAGUUGAUAACCCUACAAUGGCCUCUAAGUGUUCAAGUGAAAGAGGAAUCAAUCAAUAUUUUGCUAUCAAUUAUUAUUUAUUGUUAUUUUAAGAAAUUGCCAGACAUCUCAAAUUUCAGCAACUGCUAGCCUGAUCUGUCAGCAUCGAGGCAAGACCCUUCACAAGUAAAAAAUUUAUGACUCACUGAAGGCUCAGAUGAUGGCUAACAGUUUUUAAAGUAUUUUUAAUUGAGGUAUGUGUAUUGCUUUUUUAGAUAUAAUAGUAUUGCAAGCUAAAUAGACUACAAUGUAGUAUAACAUAAAUUUUAUAUGCACUUGGAAACCAAAAACAUUAUGUGGCUCAUUUUACUGUGAUAUGUGCUUUAUUGUAGUUGUCUGGAAUUGAACAUGCAAUAUCUUUGAGAUAUGCCUGUAUACCUCAUUCUAUCAUGUAUCUAAUUAUGUCCCUAUGAAUCUACUUUCAUAUCUACACAUAUAUCACUUAGUUUGUAAAUUCUAAGAAAUUUAAUACAAUUUGAGUUACCACUUCACACCUACCAGGAUGGCUAUCAUUAAAAAAAAAAAAAGACAGGCAAUAACAGAAAAGAAUGUGAAGAAAUUGGAAAAUUCAUACAUUGCUUGGAGUCUGGGGAGAUGUAAAAUGGUGAAGCCAAUUUGUAAGGCAGCUAGUUCUUCAAAAAGUUAAAGAAAGAAUUAUCAUAUGAUCUAGCAACUCCACUGUCAUGCCCAAGAAAAUUUUAAAAAUACAUUCAAAAAUUUGUACACAAAUAUUCACAGCAUCAGUAUUCAUGAUAGCCCCAAAAUGGAAACAAGCCAAAGACUAUCAACAAGUAAUUUUGUAAAUAAAAUAUGGUACAUCCAUAGAAUACAAUAUUAUUUGGCCAUGAAAAGAAUGUAGUUCUGAUUAUGCUAAGUGAAAGGAGUCAUACACAAAAAGCCACAUAUUGGAUACAAUUUAUAUGAAAUGUUUAGAAUAAGUAGGACGAUAGAGACAGAAAGUAGGUCAGUGAUGGUCAGGGGCAAUAACCAACUGAUAUAUGGUUGAAUAGAGGACUGACUAAAUUAUAAAUAAUAAGAUAAAGGGGUACUUUGAAACAAUCCAAUCCAAUUUUCCUCUUUUUGUUUAUUAAUUUUGUUGGCCUUCUUUUUUCUUUUAAAUUUUUUAGUUUCUUUCUUUCUUUUUUCUUUCUUUCUUUCUUUCUUUCUUUCUUUCUUUCUUUCUUUCUUUCUUUCUUUCUUUCUUUCUUUCUAUCUUUCAAUUGAAGUAAAGUCAGUUUACAAAGUUGUGUCAAUUUCUGGUGCACAGCAUAAUGUUUCUGUCAUAUAUGUAUUCAUACAUAUAUUUGUUUUCAUAUUAUUCUUCAUUAUAGGUUACUACAAAAUACUGAACAUACUUCCCUGUGCUAUACAGAAGAAAGUUGUUGCUUAUAUAUUAUAUAUAUAAUAGUACGUAUAUCUACAAACUCCUAAUUUAU
Long non-coding RNA from Camelus dromedarius (Arabian camel), 4160 nucleotides. RefSeq lists it as uncharacterized. The transcript has 3 exons. Lineage: Eukaryota; Metazoa; Chordata; Mammalia; Artiodactyla; Camelidae. The record is from RefSeq and is a predicted model, not a curated record.